UCGCGAACGACACAUCACUCUUAUCUCCCUUCGCUGCCUCUUGGACGCUCAAGGUUCUUUUCGCUCCCAACAAGAUGAAGCUGUGUGUUUUCCUCGUGGUUCUUGCGAUUUCAGCCCAAGUGGUCGUUAACACGGCGGCGACGAGGACGACAAAUUUGGCUGCAUCCACCAUGAGCCCAGCCCCUGCCAACACGACUGUCAUGAACGCAUGCUCCAGGAUCAACGCCUCCAUCUUGCUGACCCUGACCCUGGCCCUCGCCUUGGUCCCUCUGUUCUACAAUACAUGGUGCUGAUGCGUGCGCUAAGAGCCCCUUCACUGGACAUGAAGAGUUCAAUGGCCUUGCCACUUGGUUUGUCCAAAGAUGAGACACCUGGAGUUUGAUGGUCUGAAUGUGCUGCAGAAGCGCUUUGUCAAGUCGUGAAAGUCUUUCAUUGACUGGACUAUCACCAGGAAGUAACGCACUGUGUGCUGUCCAAUAGUUGGCGACGUCUUUGUCUUAAAUGUCCAGUGAGUGUGUCCCUUUUUUUAAUAUAUAUAAAAGGAUGCCAGUUAAACUUUGUACUUUUGAAAAUAUAAAACAUUGAGUGCUUUUUAGGUCUUGAAAUAUUUUGUAAAUUCAAUAAACAUUCAACUCGGUGACUUUGGCUGAAUUUCUAAAUGUUCACUUGGAUUUUGUGACGUGUAACGUAUUUUCCGCACUCUAGGGCGCACCCAAAAGUCUUCCGUUUUCUUAAAAGCUCACGGCGUGCCUUAAAAUCAGGUGCGCCUUGUGUAUGGUCAUUUUGCCGAAAUGACCAUACACAAGGCGAAAUGAUUUCGGUAAUAUGUUGACCCAAGAUGGCUCUUUGCUGGAGACAUGCUUGCAAUGUUAUAACUUGCUGUUGGUUCAGUGAACGGUGUCGCUGCUUCAUUCAAUGUUUUUGUUGCCGCUCUGAAAAAAGGAGAGCUGUGGUGGUUUUUUUUUUUUAAACGCACAUUAAUGGUUUUCAUUCUCAACAAAUACCGGUCCGUCUUUGUCCUUCUCGGUGCCUCCUCUUCUUCCGUUCGACUCGAGAGGCGUUCAUGACUGCCUACGAAAAACGUAAAU
This is a long non-coding RNA of Hippocampus comes (tiger tail seahorse), 1088 nucleotides long. RefSeq lists it as uncharacterized. Lineage: Eukaryota; Metazoa; Chordata; Actinopteri; Syngnathiformes; Syngnathidae. The record is from RefSeq and is a predicted model, not a curated record. The transcript has 3 exons.